UACGUAGGGCGCAAGCGUUACUCGGAAUCACUGGGCAUAAAGGGCGUGUAGGCGGGCGCGUAAGUCUGGUGUGAAAUCCCCCGGCUCAACCGGGGACGGCCAUCAGAUACUGCGUGUCUUGAGUGUGGGAGAGGAGAGUGGAACUCUUGGUGGAGCGGUGAAAUGCGUAGAUAUCAAGAGGAACGCCGGUGGCGAAAGCGGCUCUCUGGCCCAUUACUGACGCUGAGGCGCGAAAGCUAGGGGAGCAAACGGG
RNAcentral lists this ribosomal RNA (253 nucleotides) under uncultured bacterium. Its description in RNAcentral is "partial 16S ribosomal RNA". It matches the Rfam family "Bacterial small subunit ribosomal RNA", at positions 524 to 776 of the family's 1533-position model. The record is from RNAcentral.